Molecule: ribosomal RNA, 253 nt
Filed under: uncultured bacterium
Lineage: Bacteria
Description: partial 16S ribosomal RNA
Rfam family: Bacterial small subunit ribosomal RNA
Source: RNAcentral
UACGAAGGGGGCUAGCGUUGCUCGGAAUGACUGGGCGUAAAGGGCGCGUAGGCGGCUCAUACAGUCAGAUGUGAAAUUCCUGGGCUUAACCUGGGGGCUGCAUUUGAUACGUGUGGGCUUGAGUGGGGAAGAGGGUCGUGGAAUUCCCAGUGUAGAGGUGAAAUGCGCAGAUAUCAGGAAGAACACCCGUGGCGAAGGCGGCUCUCUGGGACGGUACUGACGCUGAGACGCGAAAGCGUGGGGAGCGAACAGG